Long non-coding RNA from Dermochelys coriacea (leatherback sea turtle), 147 nucleotides. RefSeq lists it as uncharacterized. The record is from RefSeq and is a predicted model, not a curated record. NCBI's taxonomy places the organism in Eukaryota, Metazoa, Chordata, Testudines, Dermochelyidae. The transcript is spliced from 3 exons.
UCUGUCUUGUUCGGAGCAUCUGUGGUUGCUUGCAGCAGAGGUGGGAGCAGGAGAAGGGCCCAGUAUGUGUCCCUUCUGUCUGUUUUAUACCCUCAGUCCACAUGCUUGUAGAACAGAAGUCCAGGCAUGUCUGUGGGGCAUUGCUGA